RNAcentral lists this ribosomal RNA (820 nucleotides) under Nata dumeticola. RNAcentral describes it as "partial 16S ribosomal RNA". The stretch from base 353 to 557 matches the Rfam family "Archaeal large subunit ribosomal RNA", at positions 1793 to 2108 of the family's 2987-position model. Lineage: Eukaryota; Metazoa; Mollusca; Gastropoda; Stylommatophora; Rhytididae. The record is from RNAcentral.
UGCAUAAUGGUUAACUAAAAUUUAUAAAUUUUUUAUUCCCGAAAUAAAAGAGCUAAAAUUUUAAAUUUGUAGAAUAAUAUUUAAUGUUGCAUUAUUAUUUAAUAUUUAGUUUUAGAGGUGAAACGCUUACAAUUUUUAUGAUAUCUGGAUUUAAUUUAAAUGUAUUUAGUACAGGAAAUGAAUUAAAAAGUGUUAAGAUUUUUUAAAAAAAUUACUUUUAACUUUUUAUAUCUAGGAGUAUUUCUCCAUUUAAAAUUAUCUUGUCAUAAUUUUUUAUAAGUAAUGUAUUUAAUUUAGAUUUUUAAGAAUUAAAUUAAAAGUUUCUUUUUUAAUGUUAAAAUGAGUAUAAAUAUAAAUGUUUUUAAGGAACUCGGCAAAUAUAUAGUUCAACUGUUUACCAAAAACAUAGCCUUUUGAAUUUAUAAAAGGUGAUUCCUGCCCAUUGGUAUUCUUAACGGCCGCAGUACCUUGACUGUGCUAAGGUAGCAUAAUAAUUUGGCUUUUAAUUGGAGUCUUGAAUCAAAGGAAAAAUGAAUUUAAGCUGUCUUUAAAAUAAAAAUAAAAUUUAUUUAUAAGGUGAAAAUACCUUUUUAUAUUAAUUAGACAAGAAGACCCUUAGAGUUUAAAUUUUUGUUGGGGCGACAAAGUAGCAUAUAAACCUACUUUUUUUACACGAAAAAAAUUUUGUAAGAAUAAGCUACCUAAGGGAUAACAGCAUAAUAUUUUUUUUGUUUGUGACCUCGAUGUUGGAUUAGGAAUUUAGUUUACUAGACGUAAAUUAAAAAGUUCUGUUCGAACAUUUUUCUCCUACAUGAUCUGA